AAAAUACUCCCUCCGUCUCAUAUUAAGUGACUCAACAUUGUCCAAAUAUGAAUGUAUCUAUAGCCAAAGACGUCUAGAUACAUGUAAUAUAAUGUCAUUUAAUAUGAGACGAAGGGAGUAGCAC
Molecule: non-coding RNA, 124 nt
Organism: Brachypodium distachyon (stiff brome)
Lineage: Eukaryota; Viridiplantae; Streptophyta; Magnoliopsida; Poales; Poaceae
Source: Rfam